Non-coding RNA from Pelobates cultripes (western spadefoot toad), 882 nucleotides. Lineage: Eukaryota; Metazoa; Chordata; Amphibia; Anura; Pelobatidae. The record is from the annotation of a GenBank genome assembly.
AGAUGGCAAGCCAAAUGAUCUGGAUUACCGGACAUUCUUUUAUAAGCUGGGCUCAGAAAAAACAGCGGAGAGAUCAUAUGGAGAGAACCUGAAGUUUGAUUGUUCAAAAGUUUCGAUAUGUUGGUGGGGAGUUCAAGGUUUGAGAUGUGAACAACUAUUUGUUCUGUAUUUCUUUUAUUUUUGUUUAAAAAGAUUGUUUGUUUCAAUUAAAACCUGGUUCCCUGAAGUUUUGUUAAUUUGGUUGGAGGUUAUACCUAGAUUACUAUGGGUUAGCAGGCUUCCCCAAACUCCAGCCCUCCAGAUGUUGUUGAACUACAACUCCCAUGAUUCUAUGAAUGAAAUAGAUAGGCUGAGUAUCAUGGAAGUUGUAGUUCAGUAACAUCUGGAGGGCCGGAGUUUGGGGAAGGGUUAAAGGGUCAGGUCAGUUCAAUAGGGCUGGUUCAAAAUUUUUGCAGUCAUUGGGUCGUUUUUCUUUUAGACAAAGAAUUAGAAGGCUUGUUUAGAAAGGAUUUAGUUCACUGAUCAAGUGUGGGAUUAGACGUUUUUAACUCUGGAUUACAAGACAUGGUUGAGAAGGCUGACGCGGUUUUGGAAGGGGACAUCCCAGUUGCUUUUGGCAACGGGAUGGCUGUUGGGGUAAGUCACCCUCAUAAUGCAGCUUUGAGGGUGAAUAUUUAGAAAAGUGGACAGUUCAGGUUAUCAGGGCAGUACUGGCAUAUGUAAUGGUUUAAUACUCUGGGUAAUGGUUAUGCCAAGAGUUUGUUACUUAAUAAUAAUAACAACGUGUGGAAUAGAAAAGGUUUUGGUAUAAGUCAAUGUUUGAAAGAACAAGUUGUUUGGAUAUUUAAAUUUAGUAAAUGAACGACCACGGCCUUUUCCCAA